UGUCUGCGGGACUGGAGCCCUGCGCGGCCCAAAGCUCUGGGAAAUGGAGCAGCUCAAUAGAAAACUUUUUGAUAUUACUUUUUAUAGGUAUUUACACUCUGGUGAGGGUAGCUGGGUACAGAAGCUUCCCUAAUCAGCCCCCGACCUUGGGUUUGGAUACUCGGCUUAU
RNAcentral lists this long non-coding RNA (169 nucleotides) under Microtus ochrogaster (prairie vole). RNAcentral describes it as "HOXA transcript at the distal tip, conserved region 4 (ENSMOCG00000004006.1)". It matches the Rfam family "HOXA transcript at the distal tip, conserved region 4". The record is from RNAcentral. Lineage: Eukaryota; Metazoa; Chordata; Mammalia; Rodentia; Cricetidae.